UCACGUUUAUAUUGUAAUAUUAAUUUGUAUCAUAUCAUAUUAUAUAUUUAUAAAGUAUAAAUUAUUAUAUUAUUUUAAAAAUUGCUAUGACGUGUUGUGUUGAUAUAUACUCUAAUUGUGGUAAUUUUAAAUCUAAUAGCCUCAGAAAAUUGCCCUUCUUUAGGGUAAUUAAAAAUUAUACAACUAUGAUUAACACAAUACAUAUUAUGUCUUAACAUUUAUUAGAUGAAUAAAAAUAAAGUUUAACUACAUAAUUUUUAUAAAAUAGAUUUCCCUCUGAUAAGAUCAAAAGGUAGAUGUGGGUUAAAGCUAUAAAAAGAAAAAAACUUUGUUCCCUACGCGUUAAAGUGAAAUAUGUAGUUAACAUUUUACAAAUAAUCAUUUUUACCAAUAAUAUUACAGCAAGUUGUUGAGAGAAAUACCUUACACCAGUAUCUAGAAUCUUCAAUUGUGAUCCUGUAAGUAAAAGAAAGUUGGCAUAUUGCGAUCACAGAUCGCGGUUAUUACAGUAAAAAAUCAUUUUCUCUUAGAUCAGUAGAAGAAACCACUGAAAAUAAUAUUGCUUAGUUUUGAAUGUUCUAGCCCUAAGUCCUAACUAUGGCGUUUUGGAUUUACCAUUAUAGAGUACAAUAUUUUUGAUCAGAAAUCACUGUCUCUAAAUUAUAUUACUAGGUACAAAAUUUACAAUUUUUUUAUAACUUAUUUCUUUAUUGUCAUCUUGAUUACUAGUUUAUGUUUGUGUUUAAUGAUAUGAACUCUGCUUAAUUCUCUAAUUAAUAUACUCUAAUUAAAUGAUACACAGGUAUAAACUUCUAUGUAAAUAUAAAAAGGAUUAUUAAUAAAUGAUAAUUUAAUUGGUAAAAAAAAAAUACAUAAUUAUCAUGAGUAUACAAUAUUAUUAUCACAAUGCUUAUCUUAAUAUUUUUUUUUUUUUUAUUGAUCUUUAAAGCCCGGCGACUAUGGCCAUUAGCUGAUUGUGGGGUUUUAUGAUUGUAUGUAGUAGGUUUUGUAAUGGUAGGGGGUUUUUACACGUGUGUAAUGAGUUUGGCAGAAUUUUUGAUUGGGCACCCGUGGGUAUCUGCUAUGCCCGGGUGGGGGGUGGCGGCACUUGUUCUCCGGACACCGUGACUUGUCCGAAGAAAAAUGCCGCCCGUGGCCAAGGAAUCGAACUCGGGUCGUCUGCGUUGCAGCCGACGCCUUAGUCCGCUCGGCCACUCCGUCCCCCCUUAAUAUUUUAUAACUAUUUAUAAUUGUAUUUAUUCCAGUGAAAGAUACGUACCUACUUAGAAUUCAGUAAAUCAGCAUAGAUACGACAUUUAUGUAUUUUUGUUUUAAAUUUAUGUAUGUAUUAUAUAUGCAGUAGGUUUAUUUGUUAUAGUUCAUUAAAUUAAUAUCGUCUGUCUGUAUGAUUGUAUAUUACCUACCUAUAUUGUAUUUUUCAUAACUUGACCUGUAGAGUCAAGAUUAGUGAAUAAUAAUUUAACAAUAUACCUAACAUGAGCAACCUGUUUAACGCUAAUAAACAUAUGAAUCUGUUAUAAUAUAUACAUGACUCCAGUGUUGUAAAGAAUACUUGGAAUACUUUUUAAAUACUUCCGGUUUUUCAUUGUAGAUUUAUAAUUAACCUAACGUAAUAGGUAUAUAAUCAUUUUUAUUUAAUUUGUUUAUGAAAUUAAUGCUUAUACUACAUUUUAGAAACAUGUCUUCAAAAUGUUAGUCAAUGAUAUUGGUCCCCCCCCCCACAAAUUGAAUAAUAGUCGAUUUUAAGGGUCUUAAUUACGUAUUAUUAUAGAGGUUCCUACUUAUUUAAUUGUGGAAAUUAGUACAGACUUCUAUACUACACUAUUAUAAAUCUGUAGCAAUUA
Molecule: long non-coding RNA, 1865 nt
Filed under: Acyrthosiphon pisum (pea aphid)
Lineage: Eukaryota; Metazoa; Arthropoda; Insecta; Hemiptera; Aphididae
Description: uncharacterized LOC115035124
Source: RNAcentral